UCGAGCUUCAAUAGAUGGUGAGUGCCGUGCCGUUCCAGUAGUCGUGUCGCGUGUGUGGCUCCGUCGAAUUGUUUUCCGUUGGUUUCCAGCCCAAAAAACCAUCCGCUUCAAACCAACUCCGGCAGGUACACCAUCACCCAGCACACCGGGUAGGACAUACCAUAGCUUCAUCGUGUUCCGUUGCACGCAAACGGCAAGUCACGGGCCGCAUGCACGGUGCGGCUUAAAGGGGCUGCUACUGCCACUGCCUCGUGGUCGUGAUUGUUUGGCGUUGUUUUCGGUUCCUCGUUCGACAUUUUGAAUUCGGUGCCUCGUUUAGUAUAACCCAGUGCGCUGCCACCCAUUCCUCUGCCUCGUGGUCGCUCCUCGUGCGUGUGUGUUUGUGAUUGUGUGUGUAGGUGAUUUUCGGAAGAUAAUCAAGUGAAUCAGUUAGUGUGGGGUCAGUUUUGCCUGCCAUUAAGUGCUAACGAUUCCAGAGUCUUGUUCUCGGUAACGCACUCGUGACUCAUACCGUCCACCGGGCUGCUCCAUCGACGAACGCUACGUUCGUCGUUUCGCGAGAGGAGAGAAAGCAAGCGAAAAGCACGUGCGUUUAGAAAUCUAGAUGUUGCAUUAAAGCGGGCCUCCGCGAUUAUACUGCCACAGCAAUUAGCAAUUGCCAACCUGCCAAACAACAACUCCCUUCGCCACACACACACACACACACACGCAGACUCCAGUCAAGAGGCGGCCACGAUACGACGUCACAAUGUUACGCGCACACUGGAUACGAGCGUUAGCGAUCGUGCUGGUGGGUGCAUGUGCAACCGGCACUGCAUCUCCCGUUUCGACAACUCCACAAGCCGAGCUCUACCUCUCACAGUUUGGAUACCUGAGUCCCAAAUAUCGGAACCCCACUAGCGGGAACCUGCUAGAUCAGGACACAUGGGAGAAAGCCAUCAUGGAGUUCCAGAGCUUUGCCGGGCUGAACGUUACCGGCGAGCUGGAUGGGGAAACGAUGCAGCUAAUGUCACUGCCACGGUGCGGUGUUAAGGAUAAGGUGGGCUUCGGGUCGGACACACGCUCUAAGCGGUACGCUCUGCAGGGUAGUCGCUGGAAGGUGAAGGAUCUCACCUACCGGAUAUCCAAGUACCCGAAGCGGCUGGAACGGACGGCGGUGGAUAAGGAGAUAGCGAAGGCAUUCAGCGUUUGGAGCGAGUUUACGGAUCUACGCUUCACGCCAAAGAAAACCGGUGCCGUCCACAUCGACAUUCGGUUCGAGGAGAACGAGCACGGUGAUGGUGAUCCGUUCGAUGGUCCGGGCGGUACCUUGGCCCACGCGUACUUCCCGGUGUACGGCGGUGAUGCACACUUUGACGAUGCGGAACAGUGGACGAUUGAUAAACCGCGAGGCACCAACCUGUUCCAGGUGGCAGCACACGAGUUUGGCCACUCGCUGGGACUUAGUCAUUCGGAUGUGAGAUCGGCCCUGAUGGCACCGUUCUACCGUGGGUACGAUCCUGUCUUCCGGUUGGAUUCGGAUGAUAUUCAGGGCAUUCAAACUCUCUACGGAACCAAGACACGAACCGGUGGUGGAAGCGGAGGUAGUGGUGGUGGAUCUGUCACACCGACGAGAACACCCAGACCAAAGACACCGACCGAGCUGGAUUCGGAGCUGUGCACGUCUCCGAAGAUCGACGCCAUAUUCAACACUGCCGAUGGCAGUACGUACGCCUUCAAGGGCGAUAAGUACUACAAGCUGACGGAGAAUGCAGUCGCUGAGGGAUAUCCGAAAAAGAUCGCCGACGGAUGGCCAGGACUUCCGGGCAACAUCGAUGCAGCGUUCACGUACAAAAAUGGCAAGACAUACUUCUUCCAGGGCACCAAAUACUGGCGGUACCAGGGCCGUCAGGUCGAUGGUGACUAUCCGAAGGAGAUUAGCGAAGGGUUCACCGGCGUGCCGGACCAUCUCGAUGCGGCGAUGGUGUGGGGCGGCAAUGGCAAGAUCUACUUCUACAAGGGCAGCAAAUUCUGGCGGUUCGAUCCGUUGAAGCGGCCACCGGUCAAGUCCACCUACCCGAAACCGAUCUCGAACUGGGAAGGCGUGCCGAACAGUAUCGAUGCGGCACUGCAGUACACCAACGGGUACACCUACUUCUUCAAGGACGACAAGUACUAUCGGUUUAACGAUAGAACGUUCACGGUUGACCAGUCCGAUCCACCGUUCCCGCGACCGACGGCACACUGGUGGUACGGUUGCAAGAACACACCGUCGACCUUCAACACGCUAGGUAAUGUACGAUUGCAAAAAUCCGACGAACAUCCCGACGAUAUCACCAAUUUGAUUCUGGAUGCCGCUACCGAUGACUAUCAACCGUACAGUCGCAACGGUCUGUAAAUCGCCCGUAAAGGCCGGACGCCCCGUCGCCUGGCCUGUUUCCUAUUCUACUGCAUCCGCUCUCUAUCUGCUCUAUCUGCUCUAUCCUUCCACCCGAUCUGUACAUCUGUUUGUAGCGCUCUUUGACAGCUCUAUCCUUCGCUAAGCAUGAAGAUCGUCCAGCCAUGAAAACGACUGGAACCUGCGAAUCAUUGUGACAGCAAGCUGUGUUCAAUCAAACAUACACAACCAAACACAACACACACACAUGCAACAGAACUACCCGCCUGUUAGAUGUUUAGCAUAGCAGGAGCAUUACUAGAGACAGAAGCAUAAUACAGAACGCCCCUAGUCCGAAUAUCGGAAUCAAGGAUUGUUCGGAGCUAAGCGCUGCUAGAACCAAAAUGUGCCAAACGUGUUGCGCGUGCAAUUUAGAACACCGUGACAGCUGUCAGCUGUCAGUAUCCCGUGCGUGUAAGCGUUUCUUUUAGUAUUGUAAGCCUGCUAUCGACAGAUUUCUCAGUGCAGUCGUGCUAGUGAAUUGGAACUACUAUGGACACUCUUCCUCCAAAAGUGACAUUACUUCAUGUAUGCGGACCAUUGAGGCGUUACACAGACAGGUCCCAAAAUUCGUUAUUCGCUUAGCUAGAAUCGUACCGAGAUUCGUUUGUACUUUGUUUGUUGUUUUUUCUUUUCUUUCUUCAUUUUGCUACGCGCAUUACGUACACCGUGCCGUGCUAGUUGUGCUUUUUCUGUUACCGUUUCCGAAUGAAAACUGCGUAUCACCUGUUUUACAAUCCAACCCGAUUCGCGGCUGUUGCGAGCGUCCCUAUGCACACGCGCUAGUGGAGCACCUUUGCCGUGUGAUCGACCGUGCCUGUGUUGACCCUCAAGCAAUGUGUUGUUAUCGUUUUCUUCUACUAUUUUUUCAUCCCCAAAACAAUCCAAUCACUCCCCCAUCCCCCCAAAACGCAUUACGCCAACGCAGCAGAUACGGACGAUCGGCCAGAACCGGACAGCUAUAGUGGCAAUGGAGGAGGACGCGCCGGCAUCAAGCUCAGUAUUACUACCCUUUUGGCGGCCGUGCUCGGAGUGUACCUUGUCAGCUGCUGUUAGCUCUUCGACUUCAAAAAGUAAACUACCCCAGACCAACAAUUGGCGAACCUGUAGACGAAAGCGACACACACAACAACCCUUACAGGCACAGGUGUCCUGGUCGCGAACUUCAGACAAUCUCGAUCGCGAGAACUGCCACCAAGAGUGUCGGAUGGACCAAACACAACCGAGCUUAGCAACAUCAAGAACCCGAAAUUGAUCUCAACGGUGAGCAGUGCACAUCCAUGGGGUUGACAGGAACAGACUGGUUAGGGUUUGGUGGAUUUCAUACAACGCUAGGGAAGCUUUCGGAGUGUAGAUAGUAAGAGAGAGAGAGAGUGAGCUCUGAUUUCAAGAUUUCGAAAUGUGUCCACCAAAGGGGGCGAGCAUUGGCAAAACCUACAACCCUUGAGGUGCUUCAAUUGGCGUUGAGAUAUUGUUGAGAGACGAGUGAGACGCGAACGCAAGUCACUAGCCAUAGGACUUUUUUUUGCUAGCUAAUUGGUGUUUUAAACAAUGAAUCGGGAUAUCCUGGUCUACCAGUAACUGGUGCCUUCGAAAAGUGUUGCUAAAGAAAAGAAAGAGAGAGAGAGAGAGAGAGAGAGAGAGAGCAAAAUCGAACAGAACUACAACAUAUCUGUACAUAUCAUACAUCCAGGGCAGAAGGAACGCUAGGGCUGUUCCCUCCAGCACAUUCCGAAGGGUAGCUCGAGCACGAUCGUAUUCGAUCGUGCACGUUUAGGGCAAUAGAGAAGGAAACGAAUAUUAUGUCAACUGUUGAUAGAGAGAGAGCUCGCGCGCGCGCGAUGUGUAGAAUGGAAAACGCUGCGGGAAGCGCAAUCCAUCCGAAAAAGCAAAACGGCACCCAGUUAUAACUGUGUAAUAUGUUAGAUACGAAUUACAUUUUAAUUGUACCAUGUAUGUUAAGCCCGGUUUACAGGCAGGGCGAAACCAAACCAUCCUUAACCCUCCAAAACUCCAACACACCGUCUUCAACACGUGAAUCGCAACGCAUAAUCAACUGCCGGGCAGGCAGGGCCCAUCGGCAGGCCCGCCGACCGUUCGGUGACCAAUGCUGUACCAGCAUUUUGUACAUAUUUAUUACUGUUUACCGUACCGAGCGAGCGGACUUUGCAGAGAGCUGCAAUUCCGUACAGCGAUUCCGGGUGGCACGAGAUGGCAGUGGAAAAGAGGUGGAAAAUAAAAAGAAAACCGACAAACUGACAUGUUUUAACCA
Anopheles stephensi (Asian malaria mosquito) is the source of this 4688-nucleotide RNA transcript. It is a transcript of the gene named matrix metalloproteinase-14, with no coding region annotated. The record is from RefSeq and is a predicted model, not a curated record. The transcript has 8 exons. Lineage: Eukaryota; Metazoa; Arthropoda; Insecta; Diptera; Culicidae.